Molecule: long non-coding RNA, 796 nt
Organism: Culex pipiens pallens (northern house mosquito)
Lineage: Eukaryota; Metazoa; Arthropoda; Insecta; Diptera; Culicidae
Exons: 2
Source: RefSeq, a predicted model, not a curated record
AUGCGUCAAGCCAAAGGGUGAUGUUCUCGAACGGACCUGGAAGUGCUUUUAGAUCAGCUGGAUUUUGAAAUUUCAUUAUUAUUAAUUACUCAUGCUGAAUCGCCGAAUUAAUUGGAAAUUUAAAUGAAUUAUUCUUUAUUUGUGCCUACCUUUUCAUCUGUUGUAUUUCUGUAAUUUGCAAUGAUAUCUUCAUCGUAUGCCAACAAAAAGAUUAAAAGUUUUUCUCUCCGUGUACCAAGCACAAACAAGUUAGAUCAUUCUAUCCAGAUCUUCGAAGGUAAGUCAAACAGCAGCAGAAGGAACUUCAUUCAGUGCCGUUCCAGCGUUCAACUUAGAAGCAUGAAGUGGCUCGAAGUGGGUUUCUUCGCGCUCUGUCUCAGCAGCUGUGCGGCUGAGUUCACCAAAGACCAGUUUCGUCAAAUAAUGGACAUUACCAGGGUGUGCUACACAAAGUUGGACAUCUCCAAAGAGUCGGAUUUGGUUGAUAAGAUUUUUUAUCAUAAAAAUUUAACGUACAACGAUCAGGAAGCAAAAUACAUCCUCUGUUAUCACCGGGAAGCAGGCUGGUUGGAUCCCCAAAACAUUUAUCACUCCGAAAAGGUUGUGAAUUUCUUCGCGCAAAACGAGCAACUUGAUCGAAAACAACUGGAAGAACUGAUUGAUCUUUGUCUCGAAAGGGACAGUGUAUUGGAUAAAAUGCUGGAUAGAGCCGUUAAGUUUUAUAGGUGUUUUUGGGACAAAAAGAAGUUCUCCCUCUAAGAGUGUUGUUAUGAAAAUAAAAUGCCUAUUUAAUUUA